This 542-nucleotide long non-coding RNA is filed under the name Phaseolus vulgaris (common bean). RNAcentral's name for it is "long non-coding RNA (PVUL_LNC004530)". Lineage: Eukaryota; Viridiplantae; Streptophyta; Magnoliopsida; Fabales; Fabaceae. The record is from RNAcentral.
CAAGUUAUACUACCAAUAUGUUAGAGCACACAAGUUCACCAUGAAAAGAAAAUACUUAUUUAUACCUUAGCUUUUGUUUGGUGUAUACCGGAUGAAGGUUUGAGGUCUUAGUGUCUGAUUGGUGCUGUGAUGAUUGAUGCAUACAAAUUCAUUAAACUCAGCAGAGAAUUAAUAAGCCUAGUAUUUGAUAAUGUGUUUUUAUUCAAACGCUAAUUCGGUCAAGUAACAAUGAGUUCAUAAUAAUCAUAUAGAUAGUUACGAGCUUCAAGAAAAACAUAUGUCAUCAUCAUGCAUUAAUUGUACAAAGUACCAAAUACUGAGAUUUUACUUGAGCGUCUGAGUGUCUUUUGCAUAUACUAUCCCGACUGAGAGAUUGCAAAGAAGUGAAGAUCAGUGGAAGAGGAGUGACAAGUGUGAUUCAAGAAGUGAUAGUCGUUUAAUGAAGGGAAGAAGGUGAUCGACGAUGAAAGAAGUAGGUAAUAAUUCUCUCAAUCCCUUUCGGUACGAGAAUAGUUACUAAGUUAGCAAUAAGUACGAAAAUG